GGUUAAGCGACUAAGCGUACACGGUGGAUGCCCUGGCAGUCAGAGGCGAUGAAGGACGUGCUAAUCUGCGAUAAGCGUCGGUAAGGUGAUAUGAACCGUUAUAACCGGCGAUUUCCGAAUGGGGAAACCCAGUGUGAUUCGUCACACUAUCAUUAACUGAAUCCAUAGGUUAAUGAGGCGAACCGGGGGAACUGAAACAUCUAAGUACCCCGAGGAAAAGAAAUCAACCGAGAUUCCCCCAGUAGCGGCGAGCGAACGGGGAGGAGCCCAGAGCCUGAAUCAGUGUGUGUGUUAGUGGAAGCGUCUGGAAAGGCGCGCGAUACAGGGUGACAGCCCCGUACACAAAAAUGCACAUGCUGUGAGCUCGAUGAGUAGGGCGGGACACGUGGUAUCCUGUCUGAAUAUGGGGGGACCAUCCUCCAAGGCUAAAUACUCCUGACUGACCGAUAGUGAACCAGUACCGUGAGGGAAAGGCGAAAAGAACCCCGGCGAGGGGAGUGAAAAAGAACCUGAAACCGUGUACGUACAAGCAGUGGGAGCACGCUUAGGCGUGUGACUGCGUACCUUUUGUAUAAUGGGUCAGCGACUUAUAUUCUGUAGCAAGGUUAACCGAAUAGGGGAGCCGAAGGGAAACCGAGUCUUAACUGGGCGUUAAGUUGCAGGGUAUAGACCCGAAACCCGGUGAUCUAGCCAUGGGCAGGUUGAAGGUUGGGUAACACUAACUGGAGGACCGAACCGACUAAUGUUGAAAAAUUAGCGGAUGACUUGUGGCUGGGGGUGAAAGGCCAAUCAAACCGGGAGAUAGCUGGUUCUCCCCGAAAGCUAUUUAGGUAGCGCCUCGUGAACUCAUCUCCGGGGGUAGAGCACUGUUUCGGCAAGGGGGUCAUCCCGACUUACCAACCCGAUGCAAACUGCGAAUACCGGAGAAUGUUAUCACGGGAGACACACGGCGGGUGCUAACGUCCGUCGUGAAGAGGGAAACAACCCAGACCGCCAGCUAAGGUCCCAAAGUCAUGGUUAAGUGGGAAACGAUGUGGGAAGGCCCAGACAGCCAGGAUGUUGGCUUAGAAGCAGCCAUCAUUUAAAGAAAGCGUAAUAGCUCACUGGUCGAGUCGGCCUGCGCGGAAGAUGUAACGGGGCUAAACCAUGCACCGAAGCUGCGGCAGCGACGCUUAUGCGUUGUUGGGUAGGGGAGCGUUCUGUAAGCCUGUGAAGGUGUGCUGUGAGGCAUGCUGGAGGUAUCAGAAGUGCGAAUGCUGACAUAAGUAACGAUAAAGCGGGUGAAAAGCCCGCUCGCCGGAAGACCAAGGGUUCCUGUCCAACGUUAAUCGGGGCAGGGUGAGUCGACCCCUAAGGCGAGGCCGAAAGGCGUAGUCGAUGGGAAACAGGUUAAUAUUCCUGUACUUGGUGUUACUGCGAAGGGGGGACGGAGAAGGCUAUGUUGGCCGGGCGACGGUUGUCCCGGUUUAAGCGUGUAGGCUGGUUUUCCAGGCAAAUCCGGAAAAUCAAGGCUGAGGCGUGAUGACGAGGCACUACGGUGCUGAAGCAACAAAUGCCCUGCUUCCAGGAAAAGCCUCUAAGCAUCAGGUAACAUCAAAUCGUACCCCAAACCGACACAGGUGGUCAGGUAGAGAAUACCAAGGCGCUUGAGAGAACUCGGGUGAAGGAACUAGGCAAAAUGGUGCCGUAACUUCGGGAGAAGGCACGCUGAUAUGUAGGUGAAGUCCCUCGCGGAUGGAGCUGAAAUCAGUCGAAGAUACCAGCUGGCUGCAACUGUUUAUUAAAAACACAGCACUGUGCAAACACGAAAGUGGACGUAUACGGUGUGACGCCUGCCCGGUGCCGGAAGGUUAAUUGAUGGGGUCAGCGCAAGCGAAGCUCUUGAUCGAAGCCCCGGUAAACGGCGUACCGUAACUAUAACGGUCCUAAGGUAGCGAAAUUCCUUGUCGGGUAAGUUCCGACCUGCACGAAUGGCGUAAUGAUGGCCAGGCUGUCUCCACCCGAGACUCAGUGAAAUUGAACUCGCUGUGAAGAUGCAGUGUACCCGCGGCAAGACGGAAAGACCCCGUGAACCUUUACUAUAGCUUGACACUGAACAUUGAGCCUUGAUGUGUAGGAUAGGUGGGAGGCUUAGAAGUGUGGACGCCAGUCUGCAUGGAGCCGACCUUGAAAUACCACCCUUUAAUGUUUGAUGUUCUAACGUUGACCCGUAAUCCGGGUUGCGGACAGUGUCUGGUGGGUAGUUUGACUGGGGCGGUCUCCUCCUAAAGAGUAACGGAGGAGCACGAAGGUUGGCUAAUCCUGGUCGGACAUCAGGAGGUUAGUGCAAUGGCAUAAGCCAGCUUGACUGCGAGCGUGACGGCGCGAGCAGGUGCGAAAGCAGGUCAUAGUGAUCCGGUGGUUCUGAAUGGAAGGGCCAUCGCUCAACGGAUAAAAGGUACUCCGGGGAUAACAGGCUGAUACCGCCCAAGAGUUCAUAUCGACGGCGGUGUUUGGCACCUCGAUGUCGGCUCAUCACAUCCUGGGGCUGAAGUAGGUCCCAAGGGUAUGGCUGUUCGCCAUUUAAAGUGGUACGCGAGCUGGGUUUAGAACGUCGUGAGACAGUUCGGUCCCUAUCUGCCGUGGGCGCUGGAGAACUGAGGGGGGCUGCUCCUAGUACGAGAGGACCGGAGUGGACGCAUCACUGGUGUUCGGGUUGUCAUGCCAAUGGCACUGCCCGGUAGCUAAAUGCGGAAGAGAUAAGUGCUGAAAGCAUCUAAGCACGAAACUUGCCCCGAGAUGAGUUCUCCCUGACUCCUUGAGAGUCCUGAAGGAACGUUGAAGACGACGACGUUGAUAGGCCGGGUGUGUAAGCGCAGCGAUGCGUUGAGCUAACCGGUACUAAUGAACCGUGAGGCUUAACCUU
This 2905-nucleotide ribosomal RNA is filed under the name Escherichia coli. RNAcentral's name for it is "23S ribosomal RNA". It matches the Rfam family "Bacterial large subunit ribosomal RNA". The record is from RNAcentral. Lineage: Bacteria; Pseudomonadati; Pseudomonadota; Gammaproteobacteria; Enterobacterales; Enterobacteriaceae.